Molecule: ribosomal RNA, 305 nt
Filed under: uncultured bacterium
Lineage: Bacteria
Description: bacterial SSU rRNA
Rfam family: Bacterial small subunit ribosomal RNA
Source: RNAcentral
ACCUACGGGGCGCAGCAGUGGGGAAUAUUGCACAAUGGGGGGAACCCUGAUGCAGCGACGCCGCGUGGGUGAAGGAGUAUUUCGGUAUGUAAAGCCCUAUCCGCAGGGAAGAACAAUGACGGUACCUGACUAAGAAGCGCCGGCUAAAUACGUGCCAGCAGCCGCGGUAAUACGGAGGAUGCGAGCGUUAUCCGGAUUUAUUGGGUUUAAAGGGUGCGCAGGCGGCGAGUUAAGUCAGCGGUAAAAUUUCGGGGCUCAACCCCGACGAGCCGUUGAAACUGGCUUGCUAGAGUGGGCGAGAAGUA